This is an RNA transcript of Vigna angularis (adzuki bean), 1499 nucleotides long. It is a transcript of the gene named phosphoglycolate phosphatase 2, with no coding region annotated. NCBI's taxonomy places the organism in Eukaryota, Viridiplantae, Streptophyta, Magnoliopsida, Fabales, Fabaceae. The record is from RefSeq and is a predicted model, not a curated record. The transcript is spliced from 12 exons.
ACACGUCAUUGUUGCUGGCGUUUGAACUUCAAAGCGGCGAAGUGAAAGCACAUUUCAUCGCGUAUCUUCUUCUGCCAUGAGUUCCCAACCUCUGUCACCAAGCAAUUUCAGGGAUCUCUUCGAUUCCGUGGAAGCUUUUCUCUUCGAUUGCGACGGUGUGAUUUGGAAGGGCGAUGAACUCAUCCAAGGCGUUCCGCAAACUCUCCAAAUGCUUCGCUCCAAGGGAAAGAAGCUCAUCUUCGUCACCAACAAUUCCUGGAAGUCGCGCUCUCAGUACGCUCAAAAGUUCCAAUCCUUAGGAAUUUCCGCUUCGCAGGACGAGAUAUUCUCCUCGUCGUUUGCAGCUGCUAUGUACUUGAAGGCCAAUGAUUUCCCUUCCCAAAACAAGGUUUAUGUGAUUGGUGGGGACGGUAUACUGGAGGAGUUGCAGCUUGCUGGCAUUACAGCGUUUGGUGGACCACAUUCGUUGGUGCAGGAAGAUGCAAAUAAAGCGAUAGACCUGACGCAGAACUGCUUUGUUAAGCAUGAUAAGAGUGUUGGCGCUGUAGUGGUUGGUAUAGACCCAAACAUUAACUAUUACAAGCUUCAGUACGGAACCCUUUGCAUACGAGAAAAUCCAGGAUGCCUUUUUAUUGCCACCAACCGUGAUGCAGUUGGACAUAUGACAGCUUUGCAAGAAUGGCCUGGUGCAGGGUGUAUGGUUGCUGCUAUAUGUGGAUCAACCCAGAAGGAACCUGUUGUGGUAGGGAAACCAUCAACCUUUAUGAUGGAGUUUUUACUUAAGAAAUUCAACGUAAGUUGCUCCAAGAUGUGCAUGGUGGGUGAUAGACUAGAUACUGAUAUUUUGUUUGGACAAAAUGCUGGUUGCAAAACACUUCUAGUUCUUUCAGGUGUCACAACUCAAUCAGCUUUACAGGACCCUUCAAAUAAUAUUCAACCUGAUUACUACGCAAAUACAAUUUCUGACAUGGUUGACUUAUCAAAAGUAUGAAUGGGUUCUUCCCAAUUUAGACAUUCUUUUAUACCAAUAUGGUGGUUUGCACCAAGCAUUAAUGGAAGAGAGAUUGGUUGCUCUCCUUUGCGAAGCAGAACUAUUUUAUAAUUGCACUGUAUACUCAUUUCUUCACGACGAGGGGAAAUUACUCGUUCUGGUUAGGUGAAGUCUUAUCAGAAAGAUGACUCUUCAGGUUUUAACUCCGAAAUUUUUGGUAAAAUUCACUUGGAUACACUCCACUGUCACAAACAUCACUGUGAUCAUUUCAACAUUCACAUGCUUGCCAUGGUUUGGUUUCAUGAUAUGAGCCACGUCAGGAAUGGCAACAUAAGUUGUAACUGGGACAUCAUACAUGUCAUGAUACUAAAUCCUUCGAGAUCAAUAUCCUUAUUUGAGAUCAAUAUCCUUAUUUGUAGAAAUUCUUAGUGGGUGAUUAUUUUUUUUUACGUAUUAUAAAUUGUAAUUUUUUUUAUUUAAUAAUAUAAGUUUUCAUUGUUCUCUUUCA